GACGAACGCUGGCGGCGUGCUUAACACAUGCAAGUCGAACGGAAAGGCCCUGCUUAUGUGGGGUGCUCGAAUGGCGAACGGGUGAGUAACACGUGAGUAACCUGCCCUUGACUUUGGGAUAACUUCAGGAAACUGGGGCUAAUACCGGAUAGGAGCUCCUGCUGCAUGGUGGGGGUUGGAAAGUUUCGGCGGUUGGGGAUGGACUCGCGGCUUAUCAGCUUGUUGGUGGGGUAGUGGCUUACCAAGGCUUUGACGGGUAGCCGGCCUGAGGGGGUGACCGGCCACAUUGGGACUGAGAUACGGCCCAGACUCCUACGGGAGGCAGCAGUGGGGAAUAGUGCACAAUGGGCGGAAGCCUGAUGCAGCAACGCCGCGUGCGGGAUGACGGCCUGCGGGUUGUAAACCGCUUUCGCCUGUGACGAAGCGUGAGUGACGGUAAUGGGUAAAGAAGCACCGGCUAACUACGUG
Molecule: ribosomal RNA, 468 nt
Filed under: uncultured bacterium
Lineage: Bacteria
Description: partial 16S ribosomal RNA
Rfam family: Bacterial small subunit ribosomal RNA
Source: RNAcentral